CGGCCUUUGAACAAGUAAGUGAGCCACCCUCGGAGACCCCCGCGGUGGGGACGGGAGGCCGGCGAGCCUCGGUACCUCUGAAAGCCUUGAGGAGGCGCGGGGGUGAGUGCGGCCCUGAGGAAACCCAGGUGCCCCGCCCCUCCCUUUCUUCCUGGCCCGCGCCUCGCCUACCCCUCCCCCGACCCUGGCGGGCCCCCGGCUCUGGGCCCGGACCCCUGGGGUAGCGAGUCUGCCACGAACCAGCCGCGCGCUUCUGCCCUUGUCGGUUUAGGAAACUGGGAAGUUCCCUGGUCCUGCUCCCCAGCCCGCAGAGGGGACACUGAGGCCUACGGUAGGUGGUCCUCUCCUCACCCGAGUCUCCACACAGACACCAUGGCCGAGCCUCUGAAGGAGGAAGACGGCGAGGACGGCUCUGCGGAGCCCCCCGGGCCCGUGAAGGCCGAACCCGCCCACACCGCUGCCUCUGUAGCGGCCAAGAACCUGGCCCUGCUUAAAGCCCGCUCCUUCGAUGUGACCUUUGACGUGGGCGACGAGUACGAGAUCAUCGAGACCAUAGGCAACGGGGCCUAUGGAGUGGUGUCCUCCGCCCGCCGCCGCCUCACCGGUGAGCUUCCUGAGCCGUCGCCUCCCAGAUGUGGCAGCGUCGCAGGGAGUGGGAAACCGGCCUGUCCCAGACAGCCGGGAAGGAAAGCGGGGUGCGAGUUCUGGCUCCAGUCAACACACACUGACCAGGGCCUUCUGCCUGCCAGGCUCCGGGGAGGCUCGGUUCUCUGAAACUCCGGCCUGGUGGUUUUGCCAUCCUGCCUGCCUACUUCCUCCUUAGGAAAAUCAUAGUCCCAGUUAGACCAGAAUGGAGAGCCAGUCCUUCGUGUCUAAGAGAGAAAUGUGUUCUGGAGCCAGACACUGGCAUAAGGAACUGGUGGUGGGAUGGGUGAGGUCUGAGAUGGAGAGGGUGUAGGCAUAAGAGGCAGAACUACACCACUGGGCAUCCGUGCAACCUCCAACAAGUUACUAAGCCAUAUUUCCUUCUCUUUAACGUUGACCUAUUGGGACCUGCCCCGUAGGGGAGUUGUGAAGGUAACAUUUAAUAAUGUAGGUAACAUGCUUAGCACAGGGCUUGGCACAUAGUAGGUACCCAAUACUUGGUAGCUGUUGUCAUUUGCAUCCUAGAAGGGAGGUGUUGAUAGGGGCUGAGUCGACUCUGCAGUUUCUCCAAGGUAUCCUCUGGUAUGUCCCUGUUCCCUGCUCCUCAGGCCAGCAGGUGGCCAUCAAGAAGAUCCCUAAUGCUUUCGAUGUGGUGACCAAUGCCAAGCGGACCCUCAGGGAGCUGAAGAUCCUCAAGCACUUUAAACACGACAACAUCAUCGCCAUCAAGGACAUCCUGAGGCCCACCGUGCCCUAUGGCGAAUUCAAAUCUGUGUAAGAAGCGGGAUGGGAGAGGGAGCCAGACUUGGGACUUUUCUGAAGGCUGCAACCAUGUUGCCGAAGUUCUGGAAAGGCAGCUGAAUCUAAUCUGAAGCAGGCUGGGAAAAUUCCCGCAGUUCUAGGACCAGUUCUUUAGAGUUUUGCCAGGGACAACUGUUAUUCCUCAAGAAGUGUACAGAUGAUUUUACAGUUUUAUAGAAUCUUAGUAUAUGGGAUGUCAAAUGUAGGACAUUCCUACUAUGACCACACCCUCCUAUUCCCAUAGCAGACUUCACUAAUCAAUCACAGAACACUUUCCUACAGACAGUGGACAAGCCUGGUCAAUUUUCAUCAUAGUUCUUCAAGCUGCCACUACCAAACAAUGGAGAUAGCCCCAAAAGGAAACCUAUUGGCCAGCCCUGGUGUAGUCCAACCCCAUCUUUUAUCUGAUGGGGAAACUAGGUCUGGAGACAAAAGUGAUUUAACCAAGUUCAUGGAAAAGUCGUAGAGAAUCUAAAACGUGAUGCUCUUCUUCCAUACCAUGCCGUCAGCCCCUACGGGGUCCCAGGGUAAGGCUGUUACCUGUCUGGAAUCGGAAGGGUGUGGUGAGGAUGGGGCUUGUCCCUGGAGUGUGAUCAGGCCAACCCAUGCUUCUCUCCUUCCUUCCCCUUCCAGCUACGUGGUCCUGGACCUGAUGGAAAGCGACCUGCACCAGAUUAUCCACUCCUCACAGCCCCUCACACUGGAACACGUGCGCUACUUCCUGUACCAACUGCUGCGGGGCCUGAAGUACAUGCACUCGGCUCAGGUCAUCCACCGUGACCUCAAGCCCUCCAACCUAUUGGUGAAUGAGAACUGUGAGCUCAAGAUUGGUGACUUUGGUAUGGCUCGUGGCCUGUGCACCUCGCCCGCUGAACAUCAGUACUUCAUGACUGAGUAUGUGGCCACGCGCUGGUACCGUGCGCCCGAGCUCAUGCUCUCUUUGCAUGAGUAUACACAGGCUAUUGACCUCUGGUCUGUGGGCUGCAUCUUUGGUGAGAUGCUGGCCCGGCGCCAGCUCUUCCCAGGCAAAAACUACGUACACCAGCUACAGCUCAUCAUGAUGGUGCUGGGUACCCCAUCACCAGCCGUGAUUCAGGCUGUGGGGGCUGAGAGGGUGCGGGCCUAUAUCCAGAGCUUGCCACCACGCCAGCCUGUGCCCUGGGAGACAGUGUACCCAGGUGCCGACCGCCAGGCCCUAUCACUGCUGGGUCGCAUGCUGCGUUUUGAGCCCAGCGCCCGCAUCUCAGCAGCUGCUGCCCUUCGCCACCCUUUCCUGGCCAAGUACCAUGAUCCUGAUGAUGAGCCUGACUGUGCCCCGCCCUUUGACUUUGCCUUUGACCGCGAAGCCCUCACUCGGGAGCGCAUUAAGGAGGCCAUUGUGGCUGAAAUUGAGGACUUCCAUGCAAGGCGUGAGGGCAUCCGCCAACAGAUCCGCUUCCAGCCUUCUCUACAGCCUGUGGCUAGUGAGCCUGGCUGUCCAGAUGUUGAAAUGCCCAGUCCCUGGGCUCCCAGUGGGGACUGUGCCAUGGAGUCUCCACCACCAGCCCCGCCACCGUGCCCCGGCCCUGCACCUGACACCAUUGAUCUGACCCUGCAGCCACCUCCACCAGUCAGUGAGCCUGCCCCACCAAAGAAAGAGGGUGCCAUCUCAGACAAUACUAAGGCUGCCCUUAAAGCUGCCCUGCUCAAGUCUUUGAGGAGCCGGCUCAGAGGUGCCUUGUGGGCAGGUCGGGUGGGCAGAGGGGAGACUUGGACUUGGACAAGGCUUCAGGCUUUUACCUUCUCCCCUGCCCAACUUCCCCGCAGAUGGCCCCAGUGCACCCCUGGAGGCUCCUGAGCCUCGGAAGCCGGUGACAGCCCAGGAGCGCCAGCGGGAGCGGGAGGAGAAGCGGCGGAGGCGGCAAGAACGAGCCAAGGAGCGGGAGAAACGGCGGCAGGAGCGGGAGCGAAAGGAACGGGGGGCUGGGGCCUCUGGGGGCCCCUCCACUGACCCCUUGGCUGGACUAGUGCUCAGUGACAAUGACAGAAGCCUGUUGGAACGCUGGACUCGAAUGGCCCGGCCCGCAGCCCCAGCCCCCACCUCUGUGCCGGCCCCUGCCCCAGCGCCAACGCCAACCCCAACCCCAGUCCAACCUACCAGUCCUCUUCCUGGCCCUGUAGCCCAGCCCACUGGCCCGCAACCACAACCUGCGGGCUCUACCUCUGGCCCUGUACCCCAGCCUGCCUGCCCACCCCUUGGCCCUGCACCCCACCCCACUGGCCCUCCUGGGCCCAUCCCUGUCCCCGUGCCACCCCAGAUUGCCACCUCCACCAGCCUCCUGGCUGCCCAGUCACUUGUGCCACCCCCUGGGCUGCCUGGCUCCAGCACCCCAGGGAUUUUGCCUUACUUCCCACCUGGCCUGCCACCCCCAGACGCCGGGGGAGCCCCUCAGUCUUCCAUGUCAGAGUCACCUGAUGUCAACCUUGUGACCCAACAGCUAUCUAAGUCACAGGUGGAGGACCCCCUGCCCCCUGUGUUCUCAGGCACACCAAAGGGCAGUGGGGCUGGCUACGGUGUUGGCUUUGACCUGGAGGAAUUCUUAAACCAGUCUUUCGACAUGGGCGUGGCUGAUGGGCCACAGGAUGGCCAGGCAGAUUCAGCCUCUCUCUCAGCCUCCCUGCUUGCUGACUGGCUCGAAGGCCAUGGCAUGAACCCUGCCGAUAUUGAGUCCCUGCAGCGUGAGAUCCAGAUGGACUCCCCAAUGCUGCUGGCUGACCUGCCUGACCUCCAGGACCCCUGAGGCCCACAGCCUGUGCCUUGCUGCCACAGUAGACCUAGUUCCAGGAUCCAUGGGAGCAUUCUCAAAGGCUUUAGCCCUGGACCCAGCAGGUGAGGCUCGGCUUGGAUUAUUCUGCAGGUUCAUCUCAGACCCACCUUUCAGCCUUAAGCAGCCACCUGAGCCACCACCGAGCCAUGGCAGGAUCGGGAGACCCCAACUCCCCCUGAACAAUCCUUUUCAGUAUUAUAUUUUUAUUAUUAUUAUGUUAUUAUUACACUGUCUUUUUGCCAUCAAAAUGAGGCCUGUGAAAUACAAGGUUCCCUUCUGC
Molecule: small RNA, 4533 nt
Filed under: Pan troglodytes (chimpanzee)
Lineage: Eukaryota; Metazoa; Chordata; Mammalia; Primates; Hominidae
Description: retained intron
Source: RNAcentral